RNAcentral lists this long non-coding RNA (4026 nucleotides) under Solanum tuberosum (potato). Its description in RNAcentral is "long non-coding RNA (STUB_LNC005039)". Lineage: Eukaryota; Viridiplantae; Streptophyta; Magnoliopsida; Solanales; Solanaceae. The record is from RNAcentral.
AAUGUCUCAGAAUAAGAGAGUGCCCCAACGAGACAAAGCUGCCUUUCCAGUUCUGAUCAACAAAUUAAUUACGGAAAAUCUGUUGCUUGUCGAUACUCUAAAAGCAGUGUAUUUUUGGAAUUAAGAGGAGUUGUAUAAACUAAAAUGACAAAAGAAGUGUAGGAAAGUGAGGAAGUAGUCAACUGUUGAGGUAUUUCAACAACACCACUCAAUCAAUCCAAUAUCUCUUUUUCCAUUUUUACCUUGUCGUAAUUGCGGCACUUCUUCUUCAUCAGCUUAUAAGGUUAGAUUUCUGAUUAUUUUUUUGAAUCUGAAUCUGAAUCUGAAUUUGUGCUAUUUGGGGAUGGAUAUAGGGUUUUGCUGCCAUUGUUUCUGUUUAUGCUAAUUUUUUUUAUUUCUUUCCAUCUUUUACAUUUCAAUAUUGGGUAAGUUAAAAUUGUUUCUUUUCCAAGGAUUUGUAUAUUGAUAUUAGUAGAAAAGGGUAAUUACUGUUUCAUGCUCCUUAAAUUACCUGCAAAAUUGUUCUAUAUGCUAACUUGAUAUGUAGCUCAAAAAUACCUAUUGACUAGUUAAUGAAAAGUCUAGAAAACCACAUGACUACUUCUUUACUAGUCUCCUCUUAUUGACUCUAUUUGGCUGAUUAUUGAUCCGUCCAACCCAUUUCAACCCAAAUCGAAAGAAAAAAUCCAAGAUAGUCCUUUAUUUUUGGCUUUAGAUUCGAAAUCAUCAAUUGAUGCACUAAUAGUCCUCCAAAGUUUUAAGUAUUAGUGCACUUUUAUCUGAUGCUAAUUUGAGAUAUUGAUACACGAAGACUAAGUAUGUAUUAUAUUUUUCCUUUUUUCUUGUUUUUAUUUUAUUCUUUGGUUAUGCUCCAGAUAUAUAGGCAAAGCACAAGAAACUUUUAUUCCGGAAAAACCCAAAGACUUAUAGUCAGCUUAUUAAUUGCUUAUGGAAAAUAGAAGAGAAAGUUAAAGAAUUAGCAAAUUUUGAAUGGUGCACACCAAACAUUGAAGAUGCAGAGCCAAAAAAUAAAACAAGUACAAAUGAAGACUCAUCUGCAAUUGCUAAGAUAAAUCUAACAAUUAAUAUGUUUUGUACCAGAACGUAGACAGUGGAGGUUAUAAAUGGGUGUGUAAAGGAUCAAAACGUUAAUGAGUAAAUGGAUGUUAAUGAAGAGACUAAAAAUGCACUGACACUUGAAACUUAAAGAACUAUUAGUGCACUAUAUAAAAGAAAGGGAAGGGAUGACUUUGAGUCUGAAGCCAAACAUAAGGAACUAUUUUGAAUCUUUUCCAAACAAUGUUAAGCUCAAACACAAUGUUAUAAAAAGGUAAGAUAAGAACUAAUGUCACAAUAUUACAGGUAAAUCGUUUUUUUUUCCUGUUUUUCAAUUUUUAUCACUAUAAUAUUCUGUAUGUCAAACUCUAAGAUCCUCAUCCAUUGGUAUGGUAUAGAAGUAGUGUUCAAUUUGCUCGACUGCAUUAUCCUCACCCUGAGUCUCGUUUCCUCUCUUUAUUGGAACUAGGCUCUCCUUGUAAUUGAAAACCCAACAGCCAGAAAAGAUAAGGUCCAGCUGAAAUCCAAGAUCUGUAACUUGUCUUGUUUCAGGGUUAUAUAGCACUAGCUGUGAAGUUUCUGUGAUCUCGAAAACCAUCUUAUCGUUAUCCCAGAUGUUGUAAGGCCAAUGAGCAUCUAUAUGAGGUUGAAGAGUAAGAACUUUGGACCAAUUUCCCCCUUGUUUCAUUACCCACACAUCGUAUAUGGAUGUCAUUGGUUUGCCAGGGUCACCGGUUAAUAUAGCAAGUGAGCCGCCAUGCAAUGUAAGCUUCCCCCAAUGUUCACUUGGAAUAUCUGGGACUUGCAUCUCCCCAAACUGUUCGCUGCCCAUGUCAAAAGAGUGAAUCGUGUAGAUGUCAUCAAGGCCCAUAGAAAGCCCAUAAUAAACCCCGUUGAGAUAAGUGGCGUCAAGGGGUGCAGAUAAGGUAGAACUGGGAGGGAAUUCAGGAGUAAGGUGUUUCCAUGAAUUGUUGCAUGAGGAAUAGACAUAGGCAUAGACACGAUUAUUAGCACCUUGUCCCGGUUCAUCCCAGAACACUCGAAUCCAUACAACCUUAAAAUCUUGAGUCAACAGGUCAAAUCCCAAUCCGAACUGAUGAUCAUGGUUCGGGAAAAAGGCCUCAAUCUCAAUAGGCGCAGGAGGCAGAGACCUGAACUCUCUAGUGGCAGGAUUCCACAAACCCAAGCAGAUAUCGUCUCCAAACUUCUUCUGCACUAAGAAUAAGCGAUCAACUGGACCAGCAAGACACGUGAAAUCAGUGAUCCUCGGAAGCUGAAGGAGAGUUUUUUGUUCAGGGGUCACACCUGGAACAAUUUCUUCAGGGAGCAAGGAGAAUACAACAGACCUUACGAUGGGGAGUACUUCACAUGCUACUUUCAAGUUGCAAACAAGGAGACGGGCACAAUUGUUCUUGUGAUGAAAAUGUUUUUCUAUGAAACUCGAACUUUUGAUGAGAGCAUACUAGUGCUUGCACACACAUUUGAAACACAAGAGUGAUUCCACUGGCAAUCUCAAUAGAAUAUCAACUACUAGAUCUUUUGGUAAAGGACGGCGACCAUCCAUACUAGUGGAAAUAUAAGUAAAAUGAGACAACUUACAAACAUAUUGAAAGAGAACAGAUCUAGAAACAUGCUUUAAUAGAACACGCAGUGCAACGAAGAAGAUCAAGCAGCAUCAUUACCAUGUGAAACAAAAAAGGGGAAGUUGCACAUUUGAUCACUCAGCCACAAAUAUUUACAUCAGCAAGCCAAUACACAUAUAUUAUGGGUAUACAUAUUUUUAAAAAUAUUUUGACAAUUUCUUGUAGAUCAAUUUGGGAGAAAAGAUCCAAAAUAGUUCCUCAUGUUUGGCUUCAGACUCAAAGGAUGGAGUAAUAAGUACUUAUUCAUUGUUAAUUAGAGUUCUCGGGUUUGAGUCUUUUUGGCUAUGAAGUCAUCUGUGUUAGGGAGCGCUUUACCCACAAUGUGAGAUUAUUCAGCACAAAUUCAAAUUUAGUGGGGGAUCUAAUAUGGAUACCAAACACCGAGUGGAAAACCAAAAAUAAAAAUAAAAAUGACCUUAGGGGUCAUUUGAUAGGUGGAUAAAGCUACAUUUAAUACAUGAAUAACAAAGUUAUUUAUGUAUUUAAUUUAUAUAAUAUUUUGUUUGUAAAAUGUUGUAUAAAAGUUAUUCGUGUAUUAACAAAGAUGUUUAUCUCUACGAUAUGUUCCCGCAGGAGAAAGAGUUUGUUAUUUGAAGAGGGGGGGGGGGUAUUUGGAGUCUUUUAGCCACAGUUCGAAGCCCUGGCGUAUCUCUUUUAGCCACGGUUCAAGGCCCCAACAUAUUUUUUUGGCACGGUUCGAGGCCCCAACAUAUCUCUAUUCGCCUUGGUUUGAAUCCUAACAUGUGGUUCAUUUGGGUUCUUCGGGUGCCUUCGCCAUAAUUCAAGUCUGGAGUCGGCCAUUUCAGUUCUUGAAAGCUUUUAAUCUAGCUAAUGUUAUUCAUAGUACUUCCGUGUACUUAUCGGACUUAUGUGAGUCCAAACUUGUUUGAGUUAUAUAUUUACUUUCUAAUUGUGCACGAGUAUACAUACUUUCUGGGCUUAUAGAGGUCCAAUUAGGUUAUAGAUUAUUGCUUUACUUUACUACUUUGUUCUUUUUAGACUCGUGAGCUAUAUAGUUAGACUUUCCGUUAUUGCUUUGUUCAUUUGACCUCUAAUUAUUGUUACUUUCAUAUUCUUCAUAUUGUUUUUACUUUCCAAGCUCAGUCGACCUAUGAUGCCUACUGGGCACCUGUUGUUCUGAUAUUCAUGCUACACUCCACAUCUGCUUUCUUGAUGUAGAUUUGAGCGCCUGCCGACAACAGUGAUUCGAGCCUAAGUAAUGCGGAGAUCUUCUGAGAUGAAGGGUGACCUAAUGGCGUCCUAGUUCGACUUAUCUCCAUAUGUAUAUAAUUUUUUCCUAUCUUUUGUAUUCGAGACAAGUUUAUUA